CAGCACCUCAAGUGGUCAGGAUGAUUAUUGGGCCUAAAGCAUCCGUAGCCGGCGCUGUAAGUUUUCGGUUAAAUCUGUACGCUCAACGUACAGGCUGCCGGGAAUACUGCAGCGCUAGGGAGUGGGAGAGGUAGACGGUACUCGGUAGGAAGGGGUAAAAUCCUUUGAUCUAUUGAUGACCACCUGUGGCGAAGGCGGUCUACCAGAACACGUCCGACGGUGAGGGAUGAAAGCUGGGGGAGCGAACCGGAUUAGAUACCCGCGUAGUCC
This 270-nucleotide ribosomal RNA is filed under the name uncultured archaeon. Its description in RNAcentral is "partial 16S ribosomal RNA". It matches the Rfam family "Archaeal small subunit ribosomal RNA", at positions 477 to 747 of the family's 1478-position model. The record is from RNAcentral.